CCUACGGGAGGCAGCAGUGAGGAAUAUUGGUCAAUGGGCGCGAGCCUGAACCAGCCAAGUCGCGUGAAGGAUGACUGCCCUACGGGUUGUAAACUUCUUUUAUAAAAGAAUAAAGUGAGGCACGUGUGCCUUUUUGUAUGUACUUUAUGAAUAAGGAUCGGCUAACUCCGUGCCAGCAGCCGCGGUAAUACGGAGGAUCCGAGCGUUAUCGGGAUUUAUUGGGUUUAAAGGGAGCGUAGAUGGGUUGUUAAGUCAGUUGUGAAAUUUUGCGGCUCAACCGUAAAAUUGCAAUUGAUACUGGCAGCCGUGAGUGCAGUUGAGGUAGGCGGAAUGCGUGGUGUAGCGGUGAAAUGCUUAGAGAUCACGAAGAACUCCGAUUGCGAAGGCAGCUUACUAAACUGCCACUGACAUUGAGGCACGAAAGUGUGGGUAUCAAACAGGAUUAGAUACCCGAGUAGUC
RNAcentral lists this ribosomal RNA (460 nucleotides) under uncultured bacterium. RNAcentral's name for it is "partial 16S ribosomal RNA". It matches the Rfam family "Bacterial small subunit ribosomal RNA", at positions 338 to 795 of the family's 1533-position model. The record is from RNAcentral.